This 449-nucleotide long non-coding RNA is filed under the name Hordeum vulgare. Its description in RNAcentral is "long non-coding RNA (HVUL_LNC008592)". The record is from RNAcentral. Lineage: Eukaryota; Viridiplantae; Streptophyta; Magnoliopsida; Poales; Poaceae.
AGGUUUGAGAAACGAGAAAAAUCCCCCUACACGGGCACGCACCUGAUUCAGUUCCAAGCUGUUGCGGAAGGAUAGCAUUCUGAACAUUCAUUGAUAUGUGGCUGCCAAAGCAAUCCACCUCUUACACAUCGUCCUAGAAAUUUUCUCAGAUUCUUAGUAACUUAGCCCAUGAAAAUGAACCAAUUAUGCGGUUCUACGGUUCUUGUAAAAACAGAGGGCUCACAAGUGUAAUGUUGCUUGACGUCAUAGGAUGCCACAACAACUCCAUGGUCCUCAUGUAUCCUUCUGACCUGGUCUGUAAUAUUUUUUACGUGCAAGUUAGUUUUUAUUGAACCAGCUAUAUGUAAUCAGUACACAUGGCUUAGUUGGCGUGGGGGUGGGGGACUAUGGUGUCCACUUACUCUGUAAGCACUCGGAUUUUUCUUGAGCAGCUUAACCAGCUUCAAAAC